AUUGCAUCACAUCAGUCUUUAACAGGAUGUGGAAGGGGAAAACGUGUCCUUAGGCUGGUGUUCUCAAUGACAGGACAGAGAAGAGGAACUUCCAGGGAUU
Sapajus apella (tufted capuchin) is the source of this 100-nucleotide long non-coding RNA. RefSeq lists it as uncharacterized. The record is from RefSeq and is a predicted model, not a curated record. NCBI's taxonomy places the organism in Eukaryota, Metazoa, Chordata, Mammalia, Primates, Cebidae. The transcript has 3 exons.